GGGCGAUUAGCUCAGUGGUAGAGCACUCGCUUCACACGCGAGGGGUCACUGGUUCAAACCCAGUAUCGCCCACCA
RNAcentral lists this transfer RNA (75 nucleotides) under Actinomycetes bacterium. RNAcentral's name for it is "Actinobacteria bacterium tRNA-Val". It matches the Rfam family "tRNA". From Rfam's summary of the family: Transfer RNA (tRNA) molecules are approximately 80 nucleotides in length. Their secondary structure includes four short double-helical elements and three loops (D, anti-codon, and T loops). Lineage: Bacteria; Bacillati; Actinomycetota; Actinomycetes. The record is from RNAcentral.